This 521-nucleotide ribosomal RNA is filed under the name uncultured soil bacterium. RNAcentral's name for it is "bacterial SSU rRNA". It matches the Rfam family "Bacterial small subunit ribosomal RNA", at positions 8 to 524 of the family's 1533-position model. The record is from RNAcentral.
AGAGUUUGAUCCUGGCUCAGAUUGAACGCUGGCGGCAUGCCUUACACAUGCAAGUCGAACGGCAGCACGGGGGCAACCCUGGUGGCGAGUGGCGAACGGGUGAGUAAUGCAUCGGAACGUGCCCAGUAGUGGGGGAUAACCCGGCGAAAGCCGGGCUAAUACCGCAUACGACCUACGGGUGAAAGCGGGGGACCGCAAGGCCUCGCGCUAUUGGAGCGGCCGAUGUCUGAUUAGCUAGUUGGCGGGGUAAAAGCCCACCAAGGCGACGAUCAGUAGCUGGUCUGAGAGGACGACCAGCCACACUGGGACUGAGACACGGCCCAGACUCCUACGGGAGGCAGCAGUGGGGAAUUUUGGACAAUGGGCGCAAGCCUGAUCCAGCCAUGCCGCGUGCGGGAAGAAGGCCUUCGGGUUGUAAACCGCUUUUGGCAGGAACGAAACGGCGCGAGCGAAUAUCUCGCGUUAAUGACGGUACCUGGAGAAGAAGGACCGGCCAACUACGUGCCAGCAGCCGCGGUAAU